CAAGAACAAAGGAAGAAAAAAAAGAACAAAAACCCUAGAGUGAAAAUUUAAGAGAAAAUUGGUGGAUUUCAAGUAAUCAAGCAAUCAAAGGUAAAAUUUCUUGAUUUUGACUUGUGAUCUACCUUUCCCAUACAUUCUUUUGCAUUUUCCAUGGUUGAAUCACAUGAUUUCAUGAUGGGUCUCUUGCUAGCCAAACACUUAGAGAGAGAUUUUGAUGGUUGUUUUGGUUAGAUUUUAAGAUAUUCUAGUGUUUUUAGUUGAUUGGUGAUGUGUAGUAUGAAAAUCAAGUAAGAAAAAUUCAUGUUCUUCCAUAACCCAUCAUUGGUCGAAUUCUCCAUGUGAAAUAUUGAUGAUGAUUUUGAUUUUAUUUCAAGUGAUUUGGUUAGGAAUUAGUGAUUUAUGGUGUGAGAAUCAAGCUUGAAAAAUUAUAUUGUUAGUGAACCCUCCAUGGUCGAAUUUUCCAAGAGAAAAUGUGAGGAUGAUUUUGCCACAUUUCAAGUUAUUUAAUUUGUGUUUGAUGAUUUGGAGUAUUGGGAGAAAAAUGGAAUUAUUUAGAGUUAAAUUAGACAUAUUGGCCAAUUAAUCGGGUGAUAGAUCGAAUUAGGCCAAUACCAUUUUAUUUAGGUACAUAAUUGAAUUUAUAUUGAACACUAUAUUUAGAUAGUUACCCGAGUAUUUUACAUCCCAUUUCAUGCAUUAGUAUAAAGCCUGAAUUGGAUUUACAAUGGUUUAGCACAAAUGUAGUAAAUGGUUUAUUGUGCAUUAUGUGUAGGUGGUGAGCUUUCUGGCAAAAGUAAAGAGAUAGUACCCGAGGAUCAAGAAUCAGAGUACUCAAAAUUCGACUCCCGAAAUAGUGAGUAACCUUACUAUUGUCUUAAUUAUCUAAAGUAGUUUUUACUCAUUUUUGUGAAUUGAUAGAAAAAUGAGUUUAAAUGGUAAAUCUUUAUGUUUUAUAAGCAAAAUGUGAUUAAAUGAAAUGAUUUUAUAAAAUUGUCUUGAAAUUGAAAGAUGGUUUUGAAAAUGGAGUAAUUAGAGACUAAUUGUUGUGUUAUAAAUUAUGGUUUGAAUUUAAUGGCUUAUGAUAAUAUUGGCAUGAAUGGUUGAAUUGGUAAAUAUGCUGAAAAUGUAUGAACUAUUGAUUUACCUUGAGAGGCUGUAAAAUAAAAUAAUUUUCAUGUCAUGCUAUCGCAAAUUUUAUUGUAUGGUGGUUUAGCUUACUGCAGUGGGCGGGUUCUGUGGACCAGCCUUUUUAAGGGGCAUGGAAUCUUGUUAUAUAUAUCUUACCUCGAUUGGGGAGGCACGUAGGGUAACUCCCGAGGUACAACUUUAGAGUUCACUUCACGCCAAACCACCACGUGAGGGUGAACUCAGCCAACGCCAAGGAACGACUAUGUUUUCAAAAGAAAAAAACAUGAUUUAUGCGUACAUGACUUUUUAACAGCCUUGGCGGACUUGGUUGGGAUAGCCCCAGGCCAAGGUAUCCCUAAUAACUGAGUAUGAGAAUGAUUUUGGCACGAGCCAAACUUUUCAGGAAAUCAUAAGCCUUGUUGUUUAUUUUGGGUGAAAUGAAUCUAUUUUAUCUUAUUAAAAUGAGUUCGAAAUGCUGUGAAUCAUUUUUAUGUUAAACUAUUUAUCUGUCUCCAUUUUUUCAGCUUUAGAUAUUUUAGAUAGUAUUUUUUUACUCAUUGAGAUAAUAUAAUCUCACCACCCUCCUUUCCACUAAUUUUAGGCUCAGGAUAGUAGGUAGAAAGCUCGUUUCGUUGAGGGCUACAGUUGGACUUGCAUCCUCAAAAACUGUAGGUUUACCGCUUUUGAUAUUUUUGGUCGUUCGUGGGCCCACGUGUCACUGUAAAUUAAAUCGUAUGCUUUGGUUAUCUGUAUUACAGUAUGUAUUAAUUUAUUUAGCUUUUACGCUACAAAA
Molecule: long non-coding RNA, 1921 nt
Filed under: Theobroma cacao (cacao)
Lineage: Eukaryota; Viridiplantae; Streptophyta; Magnoliopsida; Malvales; Malvaceae
Description: long non-coding RNA (TCAC_LNC000989)
Source: RNAcentral